GACGAACGCUGGCGGCGUGCUUAACACAUGCAAGUCGAACGAAGAGCGAUGGAAGCUUGCUUCUAUCAAUCUUAGUGGCGCACGGGUGAGUAACGCGUAAUCAACCUGCCCUUCAGAGGGGGACAACAGUUGGAAACGACUGCUAAUACCGCAUACGAUCUAAUCUCGGCAUCGAGGAUAGAUUAAAGGUGGCCUCUACAUGUAAGCUAUCACUGAAGGAGGGGAUUGCGUCUGAUUAGCUAGUUGGAGGGGUAACGGCCCACCAAGGCGAUGAUCAGUAGCCGGUCUGAGAGGAUGAACGGCCACAUUGGGACUGAGACACGGCCCAGACUCCUACGGGAGGCAGCAGUGGGGAAUCUUCCGCAAUGGACGAAAGUCUGACGGAGCAACGCCGCGUGAGUGAUGACGGCCUUCGGGUUGUAAAGCUCUGUUAAUCGGGACGAAAGGCCUUCUUGCGAAUAGUGAGAAGGAUUGACGGUACCGGAAUAGAAAGCCACGGCUAACUACGUG
Molecule: ribosomal RNA, 510 nt
Filed under: uncultured bacterium
Lineage: Bacteria
Description: partial 16S ribosomal RNA
Rfam family: Bacterial small subunit ribosomal RNA
Source: RNAcentral